Molecule: long non-coding RNA, 385 nt
Organism: Galleria mellonella (greater wax moth)
Lineage: Eukaryota; Metazoa; Arthropoda; Insecta; Lepidoptera; Pyralidae
Exons: 5
Source: RefSeq, a predicted model, not a curated record
GGCAAAUGCUUCACACACUUUGUAUCGUUUGUGAUAAGUAAUCCUUAUACACGCAAAAUGGUGAAAGGCCUCCUCGUUCUGAUCGCAGUUGUGAUGCUGGCUGGUCUUAGCCACCAGCAAGGAGUGGGCCAAGGUGGUUCUGGAGCUGGAGGCGUUGGCGGAAAUGCCGGUGGUAGUUUUGGAGCUGGGUUCAGUUUGGGAGCCAAUGCUGGCGGACAGGCUGGUGGUCAGGCCGGUGGACAAGGAGCGGGUGGGGCUGGCAAGUGAACAUAUUUACGAAAGAGAAAACACUACACUGCGUGAAGAGAUCAACAUGCUAACAUUUACAUUUAAAAUCCAUUCAUUACUAACUAAUGCUGCAUUAGAAUAAAUAUACACACAUAUA